GAAGCCCAUUACUUUUCCCAUGGAACAAAACCUCAUGCUUUUUAAUUCUAGUGAUCCUUUUAAAAGACCCAUCUGUUUAUAGAAGGUUAGUGGGUUGGUUAAUUUAUCUCACUAUUACAAGGCCUGAAAUUACUUAUGAUAUUCAUGUGUUAAGUCCAUUCAUGCAUAAGCCUUGUAAACACCAUAUAGAUGUUAUACAUAGGGUGCUUUGUUGCCUCAAACAUCCUCCAAGACAAGGUUUGUUUUUCCCUUCAAAAAUUAACUUAAAAUUACAAGCAUAUUAUGACUCAAACUAGGGAAGAUGCCCAACCAUUAGAAGAUCAACCAUGGGGUUUGUGUGUUCUUAGGAAAAUCGUUAACUUCCUAGAGAACCAAGCAGUAAAAGACAGUCUCAUUAUCUUCAGCAAAAGCUAAAUAUUGCUGACAACAACUUGCUGUGAGAUAACUUGGUUAAAAAUUUUGUUGCAAGACUUAUAA
RNAcentral lists this unclassified non-coding RNA (477 nucleotides) under Hevea brasiliensis (rubber tree). The record is from RNAcentral. Lineage: Eukaryota; Viridiplantae; Streptophyta; Magnoliopsida; Malpighiales; Euphorbiaceae.